RNAcentral lists this ribosomal RNA (786 nucleotides) under Sarocladium sp. RNAcentral's name for it is "partial large subunit ribosomal RNA". It matches the Rfam family "Eukaryotic large subunit ribosomal RNA", at positions 92 to 907 of the family's 3401-position model. Lineage: Eukaryota; Fungi; Ascomycota; Sordariomycetes; Hypocreales; Sarocladiaceae. The record is from RNAcentral.
AGUGAAGCGGCAACAGCUCAAAUUUGAAAUCUGGCCGCAAGGUCCGAGUUGUAAUUUGUAGAGGAUGCUUUUGGCGAGGUGACUUCCGAGUUCCCUGGAACGGGACGCCAUAGAGGGUGAGAGCCCCGUACGGUCGUGCCACCGAGCCUCUGUAAAGCUCCUUCGACGAGUCGAGUAGUUUGGGAAUGCUGCUCUAAAUGGGAGGUGUACGUCUUCUAAAGCUAAAUACCGGCCAGAGACCGAUAGCGCACAAGUAGAGUGAUCGAAAGAUGAAAAGCACUUUGAAAAGAGGGUUAAAAAGUACGUGAAAUUGUUGAAAGGGAAGCAUUCAUGACCAGACUUGGGCUUGGUUGAACAUCCGGCGUUCUCGCCGGUGCACUCUGCCAGCUCAGGCCAGCAUCAGUUUGCCCCGGGGGACAAAGGCGGCGGGAAUGUGGCUCCCUACGGGGAGUGUUAUAGCCCGUCGUGUAAUGCCCUGGGGUGGACUGAGGUUCGCGCUUCGGCACGGAUGCUGGCGUAAUGGUCAUCAAUGACCCGUCUUGAAACACGGACCAAGGAGUCGUCUUCGUAUGCGAGUGUUCGGGUGUCAAACCCCUACGCGUAAUGAAAGUGAACGUAGGUGAGAGCUUCGGCGCAUCACCGACCGAUCCUGAUGUUCUCGGAUGGAUUUGAGUAAGAGCAUACGGGGCCGGACCCGAAAGAAGGUGAACUAUGCCUGUAUAGGGUGAAGCCAGAGGAAACUCUGGUGGAGGCUCGCAGCGGUUCUGACGUGCAAAUCGAUCGUCA